RNAcentral lists this ribosomal RNA (647 nucleotides) under uncultured Bacteroidales bacterium. RNAcentral describes it as "bacterial SSU rRNA". It matches the Rfam family "Bacterial small subunit ribosomal RNA", at positions 79 to 724 of the family's 1533-position model. The record is from RNAcentral. Lineage: Bacteria; Pseudomonadati; Bacteroidota; Bacteroidia; Bacteroidales.
CUAAGGCCGAUGGCGACCGGCGCACGGGUGAGUAACACGUAUCCAACCUGCCGUCUACUCUUGGACAGCCUUCUGAAAGGAAGAUUAAUACAAGAUGGCAUCAUGAGUCCGCAUGUUCACAUGAUUAAAGGUAUUCCGGUAGACGAUGGGGAUGCGUUCCAUUAGAUAGUAGGCGGGGUAACGGCCCACCUAGUCUUCGAUGGAUAGGGGUUCUGAGAGGAAGGUCCCCCACAUUGGAACUGAGACACGGUCCAAACUCCUACGGGAGGCAGCAGUGAGGAAUAUUGGUCAAUGGGCGAGAGCCUGAACCAGCCAAGUAGCGUGAAGGAUGACUGCCCUAUGGGUUGUAAACUUCUUUUAUAAAGGAAUAAAGUCGGGUAUGGAUACCCGUUUGCAUGUACUUUAUGAAUAAGGAUCGGCUAACUCCGUGCCAGCAGCCGCGGUAAUACGGAGGAUCCGAGCGUUAUCCGGAUUUAUUGGGUUUAAAGGGAGCGUAGAUGGAUGUUUAAGUCAGUUGUGAAAGUUUGCGGCUCAACCGUAAAAUUGCAGUUGAUACUGGAUAUCUUGAGUGCAGUUGAGGCAGGCGGAAUUCGUGGUGUAGCGGUGAAAUGCUUAGAUAUCACGAAGAACUCCGAUUGCGAAGGCAG